GCAUGAUUCAGGCACUUGCGCUUUUGUAACCAUCAUUCAGUUCGAGUUUCUGUCAACAAAAUAGCAAUUAAAUUCAAAAUCAAAUAAUAUGGAAUAAUGCCGCUUCAGACGUCCUAUUUCCCGGAUUAUUUCUCAGUCGAUGACAUUCUAGCGACGCAGGAAAAAAUCCCGUGCAAGUUUAUUCAAAACGUGCCCAAAUUAGGGAAGUUAAACCCGGCCACGGAGGACCCAGACCUCCAAUCUGGCACGGUUUUGGAGAUGCCGCUAUGGCUAGUACUAGAAGCUUCCUUGAUGAGACAGCCAAUAGUUACCGCCGAUUUGCCUAAAGUUUACAAGGAUGCGUACCUUGAAAUCCUCAAAGCUGACCCUUGUGCAGUUGAUUUACACAAGUUUGGUGUUUACUUUUAUGAAUUGGGAUCGUACAUGAAACAGUUUGGUCAGAAUGAUGAUAUUGCAAAGACGUUGUUACAUACGUUCACUUUGCGAUUUAGACAAAUCAUGGAUUUGUCAGACAACGUUAUUUCUGAUCCCAACGUUAUACAAAAAUUAGAUGCUCUUGAAAAAAGUUUGUAUGAAAGUGGGCAUGAUGCCAAGAUGAAGUUGUUUUCAUGGUUGAAAAUGUCUGAAAUACCUCUAGAAGCAGCCACGAUGGUCACCAAUCACAAAAAAAGGAAGAGAGUGGAUGAGGAUUUAUUUUAAAUAAAUAAAAAUACUAUUUGGACUUUGACCAAUUGUUGCAUAAUAACCGAAUCUACGGAAUCCCUCUCCAAUGGUGAGUGACGUUUCUUUGAAAGACGCAAGAACUAGUCAGAUUCGAAGUCAUCCAAGGCCGAAGCAUACUUUACCACUUGAGUGUGUGUUUCCUUGUUAACUCGGUCGAGUUCCUGACUCAACUUCAUGCAUUUUUCUUGCGUCUCCUCCAGUUCAAGCUGCGACUUGAUUAACUGAGAAGAUACUUCGGAAUAUUCCGCGGCCAAAUUGGAUUUUAAUCGCCUAAAAUGUGUGAUGACUGAUGAGACAAGUAAAAGCAUUUUUGUUAAAACCUA
RNA transcript from Tribolium castaneum (red flour beetle), 1046 nucleotides. It is a transcript of the gene named Partner of Sld Five 3, with no coding region annotated. The transcript is spliced from 5 exons. The record is from RefSeq and is a predicted model, not a curated record. NCBI's taxonomy places the organism in Eukaryota, Metazoa, Arthropoda, Insecta, Coleoptera, Tenebrionidae.